GACGAACCGUGCAAACGUUGUUCGGAAUCACUGGGCGUAAAGAGCUCGUAGGCGGUUCGGUAAGUCAGGUGGGAAAUCUCCACGCUCAACGUGGAGGCGCCACCUGAAACUGCCGUGACUCGAGUCCGGUAGGGGAGUGUGGAAUUCCCGGUGUAGCGGUGAAAUGCGCAGAUAUCAGGAGGAACACCAAUGGCGAAGGCAGCUCGCUGGGACGUGACUGACGCUGAGACGCGAAAGCGUGGGGAGCAAACAGG
This 254-nucleotide ribosomal RNA is filed under the name uncultured bacterium. RNAcentral describes it as "partial 16S ribosomal RNA". It matches the Rfam family "Bacterial small subunit ribosomal RNA", at positions 524 to 776 of the family's 1533-position model. The record is from RNAcentral.